UACGUAGGGUGCGAGCGUUAAUCGGAAUUACUGGGCGUAAAGCGUGCGCAGGUGGCCGCGCAAGUCGAGUGUGAAAUCCCCGAGCUUAACUUGGGAAUUGCGCUCGAAACUACGUGGCUCGAGUGUGGCAGAGGAAGGUGGAAUUCCACGUGUAGCGGUGAAAUGCGUAGAGAUGUGGAGGAACACCGAUGGCGAAGGCAGCCUUCUGGGCCAACACUGACGCUCAUGCACGAAAGCGUGGGGAGCAAACAGG
This 253-nucleotide ribosomal RNA is filed under the name uncultured bacterium. RNAcentral's name for it is "partial 16S ribosomal RNA". It matches the Rfam family "Bacterial small subunit ribosomal RNA", at positions 524 to 776 of the family's 1533-position model. The record is from RNAcentral.